Molecule: ribosomal RNA, 252 nt
Filed under: uncultured bacterium
Lineage: Bacteria
Description: partial 16S ribosomal RNA
Rfam family: Bacterial small subunit ribosomal RNA
Source: RNAcentral
ACGGAGGGUGCAAGCGUUGUCCGGAUUUAUUGGGUUUAAAGGGUGCGUAGGCGGCUAUUUAAGUCAGUGGUGAAAGACUCCGGCUCAACCGGGGCAGUGCCAUUGAUACUGGAUAGCUUGAGUAUUGGAGGGGUACAUGGAAUUGAUGGUGUAGCGGUGAAAUGCAUAGAUACCAUCAGGAACACCGAUAGCGAAGGCAUUGUACUGGCCAGUAACUGACGCUGAUGCACGAAAGCAUGGGGAGCGAACAGG